GUCCUCUAGGCAAGAAAAAAAAAGAAGACAAAGGAAAGACAAAGGAAGGAAAUGGAAGGAAAGCGCAAAGAAGGAAAGUCUACUCUGAAUCUUGACAUGUCAGCUUGAUUCUGGAAGUGUGUUUAUCUGGAGGACUUACCCACAACUUUAACCUUGAUGCUUGCAUGUGCCUCUCCAGCUUCGUUUUUCAGAUUGAUGUGGUAAACACCAGAGUCAUCUCUUUCAGCUACAUCAAUGACCAGAGUGCUGCUAUCAGGUCCUCAACAAACCAGAAGGCUCGUUAGGAUCCAUAAUAGCUGCCAGUGUAGAGGAGCCUCAGUUACUUUCGCUUUGAUCAUUAUCCCUGGGAGAAGAAGACAACAGCUCCUGGUGACCACAAUAAGAGACUUCAUUUUUACCUCUUACGAAGAGCUCAGUGGAACAUUUGUCAUCACCGGCUGUCACAUAAUACUCCGAAUCAUCUGUCAUCUGACAGUUAUUGAUAAACAGGAUUCUCUGGCAUCCUUUGUGUUCAAAGAUGUAUCUGUUUUGAAUAGGAGGAAAAUAAACAGAGUCUGUGAAUGUGA
This 566-nucleotide non-coding RNA is filed under the name Pongo abelii (Sumatran orangutan). Lineage: Eukaryota; Metazoa; Chordata; Mammalia; Primates; Hominidae. The record is from RNAcentral.